CUCCUACGGGAGGCAGCAGUGGGGAAUAUUGCACAAUGGGGGAAACCCUGAUGCAGCCAUGCCGCGUGUGUGAAGAAGGCCUUCGGGUUGUAAAGCACUUUCAGUAGGGAGGAAGGUAGUGUAGUUAACACCUGCACUAUUUGACGUUACCUACAGAAGAAGCACCGGCUAACUCCGUGCCAGCAGCCGCGGUAAUACGGAGGGUGCGAGCGUUAAUCGGAAUUACUGGGCGUAAAGCGCAUGCUGGCGGCCUGUUAAGUCAGAUGUGAAAGCCCGGGGCUUAACCUCGGAAUUGCAUUUGAAACUGGCAGGCUAGAGUCUUGUAGAGGGGGGUAGAAUUUCAGGUGUAGCGGUGAAAUGCGUAGAGAUCUGAAGGAAUACCAGUGGCGAAGGCGGCCCCCUGGACAAAGACUGACGCUCAGAUGCGAAAGCGUGGGGAGCAAACAGGAUUAGAUACCCUGGUAGCACAGAG
Molecule: ribosomal RNA, 472 nt
Filed under: uncultured bacterium
Lineage: Bacteria
Description: bacterial SSU rRNA
Rfam family: Bacterial small subunit ribosomal RNA
Source: RNAcentral